GAGAGUUUGAUCCUGGCUCAGGAUGAACGCUAGCUACAGGCUUAACACAUGCAAGUCGAGGGGCAGCAUGGUCUUAGCUUGCUAAGGCCGAUGGCGACCGGCGCACGGGUGAGUAACACGUAUCCAACCUGCCGUCUACUCUUGGACAGCCUUCUGAAAGGAAGAUUAAUACAAGAUGGCAUCAUGAGUCCACAUGUUCACAUGAUUAAAGGUAUUCCGGUAGACGAUGGGGAUGCGUUCCAUUAGAUAGUAGGCGGGGUAACGGCCCACCUAGUCUUCGAUGGAUAGGGGUUCUGAGAGGAAGGUCCCCCACAUUGGAACUGAGACACGGUCCAAACUCCUACGGGAGGCAGCAGUGAGGAAUAUUGGUCAAUGGACGAGAGUCUGAACCAGCCAAGUAGCGUGAAGGAUGAAGGUUCUAUGGAUUGUAAACUUCUUUUAUACGGGAAUAAACGGAUCCACGUGUGGAUUUUUGCAUGUACCGUAUGAAUAAGGAUCGGCUAACUCCGUGCCAGCAGCCGCGGUAAUACGGAGGAUCCGAGCGUUAUCCGGAUUUAUUGGGUUUAAAGGGAGCGUAGAUGGGUUGUUAAGUCAGUUGUGAAAGUUUGCGGCUCAACCGUAAAAUUGCAAUUGAUACUGGCAGUCUUGAGUACAGUUGAGGUAGGCGGAAUUCGUGGUGUAGCGGUGAAAUGCUUAGAUAUCACGAAGAACUCCGAUUGCGAAGGCAGCUUACUAACCUGUAACUGACAUUGAUGCUCGAAAGUGUGGGUAUCAAACAGGAUUAGAUACCCUGGUAGUCCACACGGUAAACGAUGAAUACUCGCUGUAGGCGAUAUACAGUCUGCGGCCAAGCGAAAGCAUUAAGUAUUCCACCUGGGGAGUACGCCGGCAACGGUGAAACUCAAAGGAAUUGACGGGGGCCCGCACAAGCGGAGGAACAUGUGGUUUAAUUCGAUGAUACGCGAGGAACCUUACCCGGGCUUAAAUUGCAACCGAAUAUGGCGGAAACGCUAUAGCUAGCAAUAGCGGUUGUGAAGGUGCUGCAUGGUUGUCGUCAGCUCGUGCCGUGAGGUGUCGGCUUAAGUGCCAUAACGAGCGCAACCCUUGCCGAUAGUUACUAACAGGUUAUGCUAAGGACUCUGUCGGGACUGCCAUCGUAAGAUGUGAGGAAGGUGGGGAUGACGUCAAAUCAGCACGGCCCUUACGUCCGGGGCUACACACGUGUUACAAUGGGGGGUACAGAGGGCUGCUACCACGCAAGUGGAUGCCAAUCCCAAAAACCUCUCUCAGUUCGGAUUGAAGUCUGCAACCCGACUUCAUGAAGCUGGAUUCGCUAGUAAUCGCGCAUCAGCCACGGCGCGGUGAAUACGUUCCCGGGCCUUGUACACACCGCCCGUCAAGCCAUGGGAGCCGGGGGUACCUGAAGUGCGUAACCGCGAGGAGCGCCCUAGGGUAAAACUGGUGACUGGGGCUAAGUCGUAACAAGGUAGCCG
Molecule: ribosomal RNA, 1493 nt
Filed under: uncultured bacterium
Lineage: Bacteria
Description: bacterial SSU rRNA
Rfam family: Bacterial small subunit ribosomal RNA
Source: RNAcentral